AUGAAGUUCACCACGUACGACAAUGCAUGUGACUUUUACAACACAUAUGCAAGAUAUGUAGGGUUUGUCAUAUGCAAGAGGGCAAAACACACGAAAAAUGCCUACAUUGCCUAUUCAAGAGAACGGACGCACAAGCAGACUGUGUCAGAUUAUGACCGGAAACGUGAGAAGACAUCAAAAAGGAUUGGCUGCAAGGCAAGAAUUAGAGUCAAAAAGAGGAAGAAUGGCAGUUUUGUGAUAGAAGUGGUUGAGCUCAACCACAAUCACAAGAUGCUAGAAAGCCACGGGAUGCUUUUGCAUAUGCACUCGCACAAAAGAGACAAUCCUUUGAUUGACCAGUUGUUGAAGGACAUGCAGUUGGACAACCACACAUAUGCACAGAUGAUGUCAAUGGUGUCACAUAUGUACGAUGGUCUGCAGUUCAUGGGACAUACUAGCCGCGGCUGGGUCAACAAGAAACAAAAGUUUGCUAGAGAAGAGUCUCAAGAUGACGUCAAGAAACUUCUGGAUUUCUUCGAGAAGACGCAGAAGAUCAACCCAGAGUUCUUCUAUGAUUACGAUGUCAAUGUAGAUAAUUGUGUAAGAAAUGUCUUUUGGGCCAAUGCAAGUUGCAAAGGAUCAUAUGUAGAUUUUGGAGACUACGUUACAUUUGACACGACAUAUAAAACUAACAAAUUCGACAUGCCGCUGGGAGUCUUUGUGGGAGUGAACCAUCAUCUACAGAGCACCAUAUUUGCUGUCACCCUUGUGUGAGAUGAAAUGACACCGUUGUUCAAGUGAGACCAAUGUUCUUUGAUGAUGGCAGCAUUAAAAACUAGCCUCCUGAAUACAUUACAUAAGUUGUGUCGGUGGCACAUCAUGAAGAAGUACAAAGACCACAAUGCCUUGUUGUAUAAGGCGCACGAGAAACUCAAGGAUGAACUCACUGCGGUGCUGAACCACCCACUAAUGCCGUCAGAAUUUGAACGGGCAUGGAAGGACCUCAUGCAGAAAUACAAGUUGCAAAACGACAAAGUGAUGAAUUCGUUGUGGGAUGACAGGCACGAGUGGAUCUUGGCUUACUACAAGGAAAUUUUCUGUGCUCGGAUGACUUCCACGCAGAGAAGCGAGAGAAUGAACUGUAUAUUGAAGAAGAACUUCGUCAAAGAGAAGCAUGAUCUCCAUCUAUUUGCUCAACAGGUGGACAAGUGCAUUCAGACCAGGAAGGCCGUCGAGCACGCAGAGACAGUUGGAAAUGAGUCAUAAGUAAAGACAACGACCCAGUUUGGGUUCGAACUACAACUGCCAAAAGUAUACACAAGGACAAUUUUUGCAAAUUUCAAAGAGACACUCUACCGCAGCACUACAUUCAGAGCAGAACAGUGCCCUAAGAACCCAACAAAAUACCUCAUACACCACUACAACAUAUCAGAUGCAUUUGAUUGGGUAAGGCAUGAUUCCCAAGUGGUCACCCAUGAUACAAAAAGUGUCUAUGAAUGUGAGUGCAAACUCUGGACACACACAGGUGCGGCUCGCUAG
RNAcentral lists this ribosomal RNA (1518 nucleotides) under Triticum aestivum (bread wheat). RNAcentral's name for it is "partial small subunit ribosomal RNA". Lineage: Eukaryota; Viridiplantae; Streptophyta; Magnoliopsida; Poales; Poaceae. The record is from RNAcentral.